Long non-coding RNA from Amblyraja radiata (thorny skate), 128 nucleotides. RefSeq lists it as uncharacterized. The transcript is spliced from 3 exons. Lineage: Eukaryota; Metazoa; Chordata; Chondrichthyes; Rajiformes; Rajidae. The record is from RefSeq and is a predicted model, not a curated record.
UGGUAGGAAGUAGAGCUGGUGGUGGAAGGUUGUUUAUUGGACUUGAGGCCUGAGACGAGCGUUGUGUCAAAAGAAUUGGUGCUGGGCCUAUAACUCUCUAUAGGGUCUCCAUAGGGUGUUUUAUUACA